RNAcentral lists this long non-coding RNA (1103 nucleotides) under Anas platyrhynchos platyrhynchos (common mallard). Its description in RNAcentral is "lncRNA (ENSAPLG00000028256.1)". The record is from RNAcentral. Lineage: Eukaryota; Metazoa; Chordata; Aves; Anseriformes; Anatidae.
UGCCUCCUGCAGACACCCUGUGGGUCCUUCUGUUUUAAUCUUAGCUGUAAGCCGUGGCAGCUGGGCAAAAUGUACUCACCCCGUUCAGCCACCCUUGUCAGCUUGUAGAGGAAAGGGGACAGAAACCUGCAACCUGCAGCUGCUGCACUGGGAAUGUGGGCAGAGCUUGCUGCACACUUCAGAACCGUUUAUUGAAUCUGCAGGAAGCCUGAAUGCAUCUGAGGAGAGACCUGCACCAUAACUGGAAAUUAAAGAUAUUUCUCCCUACCUCACAGGCAUCUCCAGGUCCAACUAGGUGGGAUGGUGUUGGUCUUUCUGGCUUUUCAUCAGCAAUCUGAGAGAGAAGACUUCUGCCUUCACGCUGUUUUCUGCACCAGUUGGUUCUGUCCCUUUUGGACCUCUCCAAAUAGCUUCUGUGGGGACCAGAGGCAACAUAGGAAUCAAAAGCUCUGUGAGGAAUCCAGAGCUACUGCAUGGAUGUCCACCGUGGUGAAAUCUGACCUGGGCGAGUCUUCAAUAGGCCUUUUGGAGAAGUUUCCCAGGAAUGCCUAUGGGCAGGUGCAGAGAGGGGGUUCUGUCCAGCUUUCCUCUGUCUUUGCAGUUCUUGCAUUGUCAAACUACAGAGUGUGCUGCAAAGUCCUGCAGUGUAGGGAUGUCCUAAAAUACUACCUUCUCAGUACUCACAGAAAAGUUAAAGAUUGUACUGCUGCUGGUUUCAUUGUGGAGGCAAAGAUGACAAAGGUACCUCUCCUCACAUGCACACACACACACAAGUGGAUGUUUUCUCAGGCACAUUCUCAACCUUGUAGAGAGCAUUUCCAAAGCAUCUUCUGAAAACAACUGAAGCUCUGAAACCAAAGUGUUCUGAAGUGCUUCCCAUUGAUUCAGAAACAUGUAGCCAAAGUUUUAUAAUUAUAAAAAUCUGUGUUUUGCCCACUUUACUGGCCAAAAAAACAUGCUACACAGGUUGUCUGUCUUCAGGGUGGUCCAUCUACAAAAUCACAGCCACCUGAAAUGAAGAAGUUCAUUAUUACUAUCUAAACUGCAAAAGAGGUAAGUUUUAAAGGGGUUAAUAAACUAUGCAAAGUUAUUAAAGAUGACCA